This 497-nucleotide ribosomal RNA is filed under the name uncultured bacterium. RNAcentral describes it as "partial 16S ribosomal RNA". It matches the Rfam family "Bacterial small subunit ribosomal RNA", at positions 28 to 507 of the family's 1533-position model. The record is from RNAcentral.
GAUGAACGCUGGCGGCGUGCCUAAUACAUGCAAGUCGAGCGAACAGACGAGGAGCUUGCUCCUCUGACGUUAGCGGCGGACGGGUGAGUAACACGUGGAUAACCUACCUAUAAGACUGGGAUAACUUCGGGAAACCGGAGCUAAUACCGGAUAAUAUAUUGAACCGCAUGGUUCAAUAGUGAAAGACGGUUUUGCUGUCACUUAUAGAUGGAUCCGCGCCGCAUUAGCUAGUUGGUAAGGUAACGGCUUACCAAGGCAACGAUGCGUAGCCGACCUGAGAGGGUGAUCGGCCACACUGGAACUGAGACACGGUCCAGACUCCUACGGGAGGCAGCAGUAGGGAAUCUUCCGCAAUGGGCGAAAGCCUGACGGAGCAACGCCGCGUGAGUGAUGAAGGUCUUCGGAUCGUAAAACUCUGUUAUUAGGGAAGAACAAGUGUGUAAGUAACUAUGCACGUCUUGACGGUACCUAAUCAGAAAGCCACGUCUAACUACGUG